UACGAAGGGGGCUAGCGUUGCUCGGAAUCACUGGGCGUAAAGCGCACGUAGGCGGCUUCUUAAGUCAGGGGUGAAAUCCUGGAGCUCAACUCCAGAACUGCCUUUGAUACUGGCGAUCUUGAGUCCGGGAGAGGUGAGUGGAACUGCGAGUGUAGAGGUGAAAUUCGUAGAUAUUCGCAAGAACACCAGUGGCGAAGGCGGCUCGCUGGGCCAUUCCUGACGCUGAGGCGCGAAAGCUAGGGGAGCGAACGGG
RNAcentral lists this ribosomal RNA (253 nucleotides) under uncultured bacterium. Its description in RNAcentral is "partial 16S ribosomal RNA". It matches the Rfam family "Bacterial small subunit ribosomal RNA", at positions 524 to 776 of the family's 1533-position model. The record is from RNAcentral.